CACCGCGGUCACACAAGAAGCCCAAGCCAACAGUCACACGGCGUAAAGAGUGGACUAGUACCUGUCAUAAUAACUAGGCAACCAAAGCACAGCUAAGCUGUCAUAAGCUCAAGACGCCCCUAAAGCCAACCUAAAAACGGUCCUAGUAAACCUGACUGACCAAACCCCACGAAAGCUAGGACC
RNAcentral lists this ribosomal RNA (183 nucleotides) under Falco tinnunculus (common kestrel). RNAcentral describes it as "partial 12S rRNA". The record is from RNAcentral. Lineage: Eukaryota; Metazoa; Chordata; Aves; Falconiformes; Falconidae.